UGGGAAAGUGUCUUCAGUUAU
Molecule: non-coding RNA, 21 nt
Filed under: Caenorhabditis elegans
Lineage: Eukaryota; Metazoa; Nematoda; Chromadorea; Rhabditida; Rhabditidae
Source: RNAcentral